UCAGUCGGCCGGACGGCCGCUCCCGCAAAACGCCGAAAGGCGGCGGGGGAGGAAAGUCCGGGCUCCAUCGACAUACGGUGCCGGAUAACAUCCGGCGGGGGCAACCCCAGGGAAAGUGCCACAGAGAACGAACCGCCUGGCGAGGCUCCGAUAGGAGCGAAGCGGGGUAAGGGUGAAAAGGUGCGGCAAGAGCGCACCGCGUUUCCGGCAACGGAACCGGCAGGGUAAACCCCACCGGGAGCAAGACCGAAUAGGGACGGCAACGCGGAUCGGUUCGCGCAAGCGAUAACACCGCGGGAGCGAUGUCAGGCUCGCCGUCCGGGUAGGUUGCUCGAGGCGAUGUGCGAACAUUGUCCCAGAGGAAUGGCCGUCACGCAUCGUUGCGCGCCAGCGCGGCGGUGCCCUACAGAACCCGGCUUACAGGCCGGCUGAUAUG
This 436-nucleotide RNase P RNA is filed under the name Bradyrhizobium sp. RNAcentral describes it as "RNase P RNA component class A". It matches the Rfam family "Bacterial RNase P class A". From Rfam's summary of the family: Ribonuclease P (RNase P) is a ubiquitous endoribonuclease, found in archaea, bacteria and eukarya as well as chloroplasts and mitochondria. Lineage: Bacteria; Pseudomonadati; Pseudomonadota; Alphaproteobacteria; Hyphomicrobiales; Nitrobacteraceae. The record is from RNAcentral.